AGUUUUUAACUCAAGUGGCGGACGGGUGAGUAACACGUAAGAAUUUGCCUUUAGGAGGGGGACAAGGAUAACAUCUGAGAAAUACCCCAUAUGCUUUCGAGUGAAAUGGAUUUUACCGCCUAGAGAGAAGCUUGCGGCUGAUUAGCUUGUUGGUAAGGUAAUGGCUUACCAAGGCGACGAUCAGUAUCUGGUUUGAGAGGACGAUCAGACACACUGGAACUGAGACACGGCCCAG
This 235-nucleotide ribosomal RNA is filed under the name uncultured bacterium. RNAcentral's name for it is "partial 16S ribosomal RNA". It matches the Rfam family "Bacterial small subunit ribosomal RNA", at positions 81 to 334 of the family's 1533-position model. The record is from RNAcentral.